Molecule: non-coding RNA, 31 nt
Filed under: Mus musculus (house mouse)
Lineage: Eukaryota; Metazoa; Chordata; Mammalia; Rodentia; Muridae
Source: RNAcentral
UAGGCCACACUGGGUGCCAGGCUCUGCCUAC